AUUGAACGCUGGCGGCAGGCCUAACACAUGCAAGUCGAGCGGAUGAAGGGUGCUUGCUCCUGGAUUCAGCGGCGGACGGGUGAGUAAUGCCUAGGAAUCUGCCUGGUAGUGGGGGAUAACGUCCGGAAACGGGCGCUAAUACCGCACACGUCCUGAGGGAGAAAGUGGGGGAUCUUCGGACCUCACGCUAUCAGAUGAGCCUAGGUCGGAUUAGCUAGUUGGUGGGGUAAAGGCCUACCAAGGCGACGAUCCGUAACUGGUCUGAGAGGAUGAUCAGUCACACUGGAACUGAGACACGGUCCAGACUCCUACGGGAGGCAGCAGUGGGGAAUAUUGGACAAUGGGCGAAAGCCUGAUCCAGCCAUGCCGCGUGUGUGAAGAAGGUCUUCGGAUUGUAAAGCACUUUAAGUUGGGAGGAAGGGCAGUAAGUUAAUACCUUGCUGUUUUGACGUUACCAACAGAAUAAGCACCGGCUAACUUCGUG
Molecule: ribosomal RNA, 484 nt
Filed under: uncultured bacterium
Lineage: Bacteria
Description: partial 16S ribosomal RNA
Rfam family: Bacterial small subunit ribosomal RNA
Source: RNAcentral